GACGAACGCUGGCGGCGUGCUUAACACAUGCAAGUCGAACGGAAAGGCCCUGCUUUUGUGGGGUGCUCGAGUGGCGAACGGGUGAGUAACACGUGAGUAACCUGCCCUUGACUUUGGGAUAACUUCAGGAAACUGGGGCUAAUACCGGAUAGGAGCUCCUGCUGCAUGGUGGGGGUUGGAAAGUUUCGGCGGUUGGGGAUGGACUCGCGGCUUAUCAGCUUGUUGGUGGGGUAGUGGCUUACCAAGGCUUUGACGGGUAGCCGGCCUGAGAGGGUGACCGGCCACAUUGGGACUGAGAUACGGCCCAGACUCCUACGGGAGGCAGCAGGGGGGAAUAUUGCACAAUGGGCGGAAGCCUGAUGCAGCAACGCCGCGUGCGGGAUGACGGCCUUCGGGUUGGAAACCGCUUUCGCCUGUGACGAAGCGUGAGUGACGGUAAGGGGUAAAGAAGCACCGGCUAACUACGUGC
RNAcentral lists this ribosomal RNA (469 nucleotides) under uncultured bacterium. Its description in RNAcentral is "partial 16S ribosomal RNA". It matches the Rfam family "Bacterial small subunit ribosomal RNA", at positions 28 to 508 of the family's 1533-position model. The record is from RNAcentral.